RNAcentral lists this ribosomal RNA (553 nucleotides) under uncultured archaeon. RNAcentral describes it as "bacterial SSU rRNA". It matches the Rfam family "Archaeal small subunit ribosomal RNA", at positions 325 to 879 of the family's 1478-position model. The record is from RNAcentral.
ACGGGGUCAGCAGGCGCGAAAACUCCGCAAUGUCGGAAACGAUGACGGGGGAAUCCCAAGUGUUGGAUACACUGUAUUCAACUUUUGCCAAGACUAAAAAUCUUGGAGAAUAAGCCCUGGGCAAGACCGGUGCCAGCAGCCGCGGUAACACCGGCGGGGCGAGUAGUGGCCACAAUUACUGGGUUUGAAGGGUUCGUAACCGGAUUGUUAAAUCCUGGGUUAAAUCCGCUAGCUCAACUAGCGGGCUGCUUGGGAGACUGGCAAUCUUGGGACUGGAAGAGGGCAAGGGAACUCCUUGGGUAGGGGCUAAAUCCUAUAAUCCAAGGAAGACCACCGGUAGCGAAGGCGCUUGCCUGGGACAGGUCCGACGGCGAGGAACGAAGCCCAAGGGAGUGAACGGGAUCAGAUACCCCGGUAAUCUUGGGUGUAAACGAUGUUGACUAGGUGUAGCCGUUACCAAGUGUGACGGCUGUGCCAAAGAGAAAUCGUUAAGUCAACCACCUGGGGAGUAUAGCCGCAAGGCCGAAACUUAAAGGAAUUGGCGGGGGAGCAC